AGGAAACCGCAACAAAAACAACAACAAUAAAACACAAUUUCGGAUAUCCCCAUACAACAACAACAACUAUAAAUACAAUUCGUUCGAAUUGUUUGGAUAUUAACUACACACCAAAACAAAACAGCAAAUUAUUGAAAAAUACAAAAUAAAACAAGAAAAUUCUCGCUGUUUGGCAGAGCAGAGCGACGACCCGACCAAUAAAACCAACUACCAACAACUGAAAGAUAUAAACUAUACACCAAAUAAUUAAAUCAACAAUAACAUUGCAGCUGCAAACAUAGAAAUUGGCCAGCAAAAUGCCAACUGAACUGAAUGCAAAACAGCAGCAGAAAUAUUAAAAACUGACAUCUGGAGGAGCCGCGCCAAGACACCGGCAAGUGGUGUUGACAACAAUUUGCUGAGCAUGCAACGGAAACAAAAGCCAACAGCAGCCGUCGAAGAAGCAGCAGCAGCAGCAGCAAUAGCAGCAGCAGCAAUA
Molecule: small RNA, 478 nt
Filed under: Drosophila virilis
Lineage: Eukaryota; Metazoa; Arthropoda; Insecta; Diptera; Drosophilidae
Description: GJ25936
Source: RNAcentral